Molecule: long non-coding RNA, 2183 nt
Organism: Homo sapiens (human)
Lineage: Eukaryota; Metazoa; Chordata; Mammalia; Primates; Hominidae
Source: Ensembl
GGGGUCACCUCCCACUCCGGCUAGAAAGAGAGAAGGAGACAGUGAAUUCCUCGGAAGCCGCUCGCCCUGCACCCAAGCGGGACUUGCACCACAAGCAGCCCCAGGAAAAAACUCUCCAUUUCUUUCUCGUGGAGGCUCCAGAAGAAAAGCUGCGCAUUUACCCGGCGCAUUCUAACCGCCUUUGAGGUUCCCUCCGGCAGCCAUGGGAGCCGUGGUGGGGCAAAGCCUGGGCUGGGAGACGCUGCAAGGCUCUGGGGAGCAGUGAGGCGCCGCGCCAGCUCCUCCGUUCCCGUCAUAGCCUCACACGGGCUUCGCUGGACACGUCCAGGACGCAGCGCCGGUGGGCACCAGGCGUUGAGCGCCUGCCCCGCGUCUGUGCUAAGACCUCCCUUUGCAUUAUUGCAUUUAUUCCAACGAUGGGGUGAGGUAGGUAUUCUUAUUUCCAUUGCCAGAGUGAAACACUGAGGCUCAUCCAGGGGCCGGUGUGGAAAUCAGGGCUCAGCCCUGGGCCCCUGCUGCUUGGAGCCGGUGCGGUGGCCACCGUGACCUCACGCUUUCCCUGCCAGUCGCUCUCCGCCGCAUCCCGGCCUCCCGCCCCGCCCCCGGCCGCUUUCCAGGGACUGAAGCCCGAGUUGGUGCUGCGUGUCCCCGCGGGGAUUAUUUUCAAACAGCUCCUCCUGCCCUGGCUCCCACAGCGCGGCCCCAGGCAGCUGCACCACUUUCUCCUCUCACCAAUUAAAGCCGAAUCCAGGGCUCCUUAGCAUAUGAAUUGAGGCGCAUCGGAGCCCUCACUGCUGGGCCAGCCCCUCCCGGGCUCCUCCGGUUCCGGGAGGUCCACAGCCCAGCAGCAGCUGCCCCUGCACGUUGUCCCCUCCGUCCAGCAUCCCGGGGCCGAGGAGACAGUGCCCCUGGCCGGGGGCUGCGCUGGCUUCAACUUCCCAUGGGCAAAACGGGGUCCCGGGUCAGUGUUCACAGAGGGUCUCAAACCCUGCAGGACCCUGAAAUUGUCUGGGAUCCACACCAGUCGGAAGAAAAAAAGAAUAGAAAACGCAGGGAUUCACCUCCUCUGCAGGCACCCUCAUGCCGAACACUAAACAGGAUGAUGUUGAAAAGGAUUUGGAGAUUUAUGCAGGUCACGAGCUUGAGGAAUUUUUCCAUUGAAUGCACCAUGCCUUGGGUUUCCCGUUUCCCACUGAAAAUCCCAUGGCUGACACUUUUUUUAUAUCAUUACCUUGGGAGAUGAAGAAAAACUCAUCUGUUAGGGCAGCUCUGUGAAUGCAGAUGCUUUGGGUUGUUUUGAAUGAAUGACUGAAUGUUCUGAAAUAAAGCAGGAAGGUGCCUGCGGGAUAAUGACUGGUUUCGCAACUCUUGGCCGGGAGUCUAGACCCCUCUGAUAAUCAAUAGAAAUGGAUGUAUAUUAAAUUUAGCAAUAGAAAAAGUAUAGAUAGUUGAGUAUGCUACAUUAUUUUCCUAUAAAUUAACCCGUUACCACAGUCUUUAAUUAUCUUCCCCUUGCGAGGCAUAAAGAAGAGACUGCUUGAGGAUGGAGGGUUUUUUGUGGUCUGAGGUCUGCAGACUGGCCAAGUAUUCCAAUAUUAAUUACCACCCAUCCUGGCCGUAGGCUCACCCCGCUGACCUGAGCAGACCUGGUGAAGCAAGCCACAACUUCUGCUGGAAAUUGCUCCACUCUUCCAUUAAGUGAGGAUUAGAAAGCCCUUUGUGAGAAUUUUGCCCAGAGUCUAAGUUGAGCACUUUGUCACUUGCACGCUUCAUUUUCCAGCAUACCGUUCGCUCAGCUCAGUGUCUAUCCAGGCACUGAAGGUUCGGAUGCAAGCACUCUCCAGCGUAGGGGCUGACCAAGUGAAAUGCACACUGAGCAACCGUGCAGCUCCAGGUCCUGGCGGCUCUUCACAACCAGACAUUCUCCCUGGAGACCCUAAGCUCCUCUUCCUCUGUUGGGGGAGCACAAAAUACCCUAUAAGGGCUGCUUUGCUGCCUCUGGCACUUUCUUCAUCAGGGGAGUUACAUCCAGAUGUAGCUGACAGGUCAGGGCCCCUUCUCCUCCACCAUGUCUCAGGGUUAUCUUUUCCAAAUGGAGGAAGUCAAGGGUAUGCAGGCGCUCCAGUUUCCCUGCCUUACCCUACAUAUCCAUAACAGACUUCAACACGAGAACCAGCGUUUCG